Molecule: long non-coding RNA, 1722 nt
Organism: Astyanax mexicanus (Mexican tetra)
Lineage: Eukaryota; Metazoa; Chordata; Actinopteri; Characiformes; Acestrorhamphidae
Exons: 2
Source: RefSeq, a predicted model, not a curated record
UUUUAUCAAGUGUAAAAUAAUUUUCAAAGACGUCCCCCUGAGAAACUAAUCCCAUCCGGAUAGGGCUAUAGACUAGGAGGACUGUCUAAACACAGUCAUUAAUUAUUGGAACUCUUAUCUUCAAAAAAGCUAUUUUUUUGGGCAGUAAUUCAGGUUUCUCAUUACUUGAGCAUUUUAUCCAGCUAGUUCCCUAUCUUGUGUACAUCUCUUGUUACAAUGUGUAUAAUUUUCUAGCAUGGAUUUACUGUGUUACAUUUGCACAUCUGAGUAUGGAGAAACACAAUUUCAUUCAGAUCUGCACUUCUUGCUGUGUAGUCUGACUUUUAAGUUUGUUGGUUUGCUUGAAAAACAGCAUUUUUUUGCAAGUUUCAUGCCUUGCCUCACUCACUACAGCAAGAAGAGUGAUACAAGGUCACUGCAGGUUAAAUCGUGAAGGCAGAAGGGAAACUUGAGUAAAGAGAUAAUCGUCAGUGCAGAAAAAAGGAAGCAGAAAACAGAAAAAGCAAAAGAGGAAACGACAACCGCAGAGCCAGCUGAGGACUCCAGCCACGCCUUUACGCUGCCAUUCAGGCUGGGGCACAGUUGUUGUUGUUGCUGCAGGAGUGACAUCAUCCUGCUGCUGGCUACAGGUACGCUGACCUCAGGCCGAGUGGUCAUGGAAGAGGCCUGGCAUUGUUCUCCGCCGAGGGAAGUGAAAAUAAUGCCGCUUCCCGAGAAAAUCGAGAGCAGGGGAUGUCCCAGCAAUGCGUCUGGAACCGGGCCACAGUGACGCGGGCUGACGCUGACGCAGUGCGGUGAGGGAGCAAGUCUUACCCAACGAUAUGAUCUUCUUACCUGUGAUGAUGACGAGAGCCGCCAGGCAGCAGAAGGAUGUGACAUCCAGACUCAUGCGAUGGAGGCUGUUGGAGAAAUCCAUGAUGGAGUCAAUCCAGUCUCCAAAUCCCCGUACACACUGCAGCCGGUGCAGCACCAGCCCGUUACAGAAGAUCAGCUUCUGCUCGUCUGGAUGAGAUCUGAAAUAAAGUUCAGAAUGGAAUAUUAAAUACAGGUCUGAAUACAGUACUGAUCAGAUUAAAGUUUCAUUUAUUUAUUUAUUUACUCAUUUACUUACUUAAAUAAUUAUGUUUAUUAUAUUUAUUUUGGAUUUAAGCUUUUUUUAUACAGCAGUCUGGUUUACCUGUAGGCUAAUCUGAGGAUGAAGAGCUCCACGAAGGCGGACUCUAGCAGGAGCUCCUGAUCCUCCCUGCAGAAGAAGCUGAACCCGGGAAUCGCCUCUGCCCAUUUCUGCAGAACCUCCAUGGUCCCGGUCAGAAGCUCAUAGAACAGUUUGAUGUCGUUGGCGUCUUCUUUUUCAGACAGGCCGCUCACAUCCUCCUGGUACUGGAUAACAAAGAGACAGAAUAAAAUUCACUGUUAAAAAGAGAAUCUGUAGAUUCAAUAUACAGCUCUGGAAAAAAAAAAGAGACCACUUAAAAAUGAUGAGUUUUCUUGAUUUUACCAAAUUGAAAACCUCUGGAAUAUAAUCACGCCAUCAAACCAAACUGAACUGCUUGACUUUUUGCACGAGUAGUGGCAUAAAUUUAUCCAAAAGCAGUGUGUAAGACUGGUGGAGGAGAACAUGCCAAGAUGCAUGAAAACUGUGAUUUGUGAGGGUUACUCCACUGAUUAUUGAUAUCUAAACUCUCAAAACUUUAUGAACUUUAUAAACUUUAUGAAUAUGAA